RNAcentral lists this long non-coding RNA (2653 nucleotides) under Malus domestica (apple). RNAcentral describes it as "long non-coding RNA (MDOM_LNC016212)". Lineage: Eukaryota; Viridiplantae; Streptophyta; Magnoliopsida; Rosales; Rosaceae. The record is from RNAcentral.
GACGGGUUGCACCUGGGUUUGGGUUAAGGGUUUAGAUAUGGGUUUGGGCCUGGGUUUAACUAUGGGUUUGGGCAUGGGUUUAACUAUGGGUUUGGUUCUACUAGGUCAAUGGGUUUGAAUCUGGGCUAAGCUGAAUGUCAUUUGGGUUUGGACUUGGUAGCACGGCCUAAGGGUUUUAGGUUUAAGGGUUAUUGGAUCUGAGUUUAAGGGUUUGGGUCGGGUCGACCCAGUUUCAAGCAAUAGUUUGGCUGGUUUCUAGGCAAGGUUUCAAACAAUCAUAAUUUCUCCAAUACUCAACCAUAUUGAGUGAUUCAAAAACCAAAGUUGUAGUAUUCAACGAGAUGAAAAGAAUGAUACCUUAUACGACUGCUAACUCACCGUGGUUUGGCCGAAAAAUGCUUCGAAAGUGGUGAUGUUGGCUGGAAAACUGUGAAAAGCUACUUCGAGCUAUUUUCUGUGAUUAACACGUAUGUACUACUUAAAACAAGCUUUAAUCUAACCCUAUAACACAUCCCAAGGGUUCUAGAAGUUUACCAAUGUUGCAAAAUCAUGAAACACUUCUGGGAAGACAAUGAAUAGUGACACCAUCACUGUGGAGUUCCUCGGUGUUCAUACGGGGUUUUCUAAGUCUCUCCGUCCAGGUGGUAAGCGUGGUAAGCUCAGGGUUAUGUGUGUGAAGCUCAGAGAGGGGAGAUGGAGCUUACAGAAAGGGAGAAAGUGUCUAGGGGUGAGGGGAGAGAUAGAGAGAAUGAGAGAAAAUGAGGGAGAGAGAUGUGAAAGUUGUGAUAGAGAGAAAGAGAGAAAGAAAGAAAGAAAGCUCACGGGUCCAAAAGGAAGAAAAGGAAAAAGGGUCGGGGGACAACCAAAAGGAGUGGGCCCCUUGGGCACACCAAAUAAGACCCAAUAGUAACCAUUUCAAAAUAUCUAGCCCAAUACCAAUGAAAUUGCCAAAAUAACCUUUCGUUCUAAAAUCUGUAAAAUUAUUCGAGACGGUUUGUUACAAUCUAACCCCGUUAAAUAAUCGUCUCGAAUCGAAAUUUGAAAUAACUUGCUAUACAAAAAUACUCAAAGAUAGGAAGAAGAAUAUACAUAUACGUAAAGAAGAAAUCAAGUUAGAGCGGUUGCAAAAAAAAAGGGAAAAUGCCACACCGUCGCGAUCGAGUUGCAAUGAUUCUCCUUUCAUGCCUCGAGGCUUACACCUUUUUCUCCCAUCCGUGUAAAAGUAGAAACAUACUUUAUAACGAUAUAAAGUCGAAAAUAUAUACUAGCAUAAGGUCGAAAAUAAGUAUGCUUAAGACGAUAACGUCAAAAUAGAUAUGUAAUAACAUAGAGGUCAAAAACUCAUAUUGAAAUUAACACUGAAAGUGAAAAAAACUCAACCAAACAUUUGUAAUGUCAAAACUACAAAUAUAUAACUAAUAUAAAGUACGUUAAAAUACUUGUAGUGAAAAUCAAAACCAAAAAUGAAAGUGGGUCUCGCCCAAGCAUACACAACAUCACGUACUACGAGAAAAAUUAUGUCUUUAGGUCGAGCCUCUACAAUAACUAAAUAGUAAUAACUAUCGCAGACAGGUCUAUCUGCCCACUUGCUUAACAAACCCAACGAAUAAGCCAUUGAUAUCACAGUCUGCAGCCUGCAAUAUCGACCACACAUUGUUGUCUCGAUAAACAAGUAGUAACUUCCCAAGGGUGUAAAACAAAACACUGAAAACUCAUAACCAACGUUAAGAAAAGUUGGGACUGGAGCAUGAGUAAGACGAUGUUCCAAACAUCCAAAAGUUUCUUUCUUAAUCAAGGUCCCACAAAGAUUUUUACAAGAAAGGGUGUUAGUAGGUUUUCAAGUAAGAUGGUAACCGUUGGUUCAAGGUCAUAGCUAGGGUGGUUCAAAUCAUGCGGUCUUAACCGUCAAGAUGAACACACGUCACUCGAUCCUGCUGCGUCAGCAUGCAGCCAAACAUUUAAUAAUACACCAUCGUAGAAUUCAAAAAGUGUAUGAACUACGAUCAUAUGAGACAAUAAUCCAUUGUCAAACUUCAUUCACCAUUAGUGUCACAACAAAUUGACUGGUUUCUUAGCAAAAAAAAAAAAAGGCUAAGCUCAAUGAAUCGUUAGGAACUACUAAAAGAAACUGACAAACUAAGGAUAUUUUAUGUUUCACAACACCUUGUGAGGAUUCUCAAUUUCCAAUGGUUGCAACCCCUUUAUGGAAAUUGAAGAGAAUAGUGUCUGCUACCAAAGAGUCUCCCAGUAAGUAUAUAAUUUAAAUGAAGUCAAUGCUCGAAGAAAUUGGUGUGAAGCUGACAGUCGAUGGUUACAGAACUUGACUUCUCUGUUGGAGUAAGCAAGAAGGUUAUCGAUAGAACAAUCAUUGGGAAUUGUUCUAAGGAUCCACACGAAUUUCCUUAACAGGAACGAGUCUGAGAACAUUGAUUCGAUCCCACUAAACUACCACUUACUAAACUUCGUAAUAACUAACGCUUACUCAGCUUUCUCCAACACGCACUUCGAAUGUUUCGAGCAAUUAACAUAUAGAUAUGACUUUGCCCGCUAUUGUUAAGGAACGCAUGUCGUAGAGUAACAUCACUGUUUUAGAUCUCCAAACUCAAACCACUUAAAUUUUUCCGUUUCACCAUAGAUACAACCAUGCACGCAA